Humulus lupulus (European hop) is the source of this 868-nucleotide long non-coding RNA. RefSeq lists it as uncharacterized. The record is from RefSeq and is a predicted model, not a curated record. The transcript is spliced from 2 exons. Lineage: Eukaryota; Viridiplantae; Streptophyta; Magnoliopsida; Rosales; Cannabaceae.
CUACAUUUUUUUAGCAAAGAAAAUGCUACAGGAGCAUAGCUUUUUCUCCCCUCUCUCUCAGACACACUACAAGUUCGGGAAAGGAAUGUUCGGUGCGAAGAGAAACUUUUCAUUGCUUUGAUUCAGCAUUACGCUAAGGCCAGUUUGGUGGAGAAAGCCGUUGAACUUUUUCACAGAAUUCCUCUUUCAAUUGUGUACGGACACGUUAGUCCUUCAAUGCACUCCUUAACGUCCUUGUUGAUGGUGGUCGGUUUUCUGAAGCAAAAGGCAUUUUCAAUCGGUCCUCUAACAUGGGUUUUCGUCCAAAUUCGAUUUCAUUCAAUAUAAUGAUCAAGGGGUGGCUUGAGAAAGGUGAUUGGGAAGAAGCGUGCAAGGUGUUCGACGAAAUGCUUGAGAGAAAGGUAGAGCCUAUUGUUGUGACUUAUAAUAGUUUAAUUGACUUAUAAUACCUUCGUCUUGCAUUCAAGGAGCCACCUUCGUCUUGCAUUCCGCCCAUCUUCUACUCGGGCUUGCGAAAGAUGGAUUGAGCACUAUCAAGAUGAGCCCAUUUGCAGGAAUGGGAGCUAUCAAUGGCACAAUAAAGAAUGAUGUUGGUGCCUAUCGGAGUGCCUGUGGUGGUCAUAAAAUCCGUUACUCUGCUUCUUAUGGUUGGAGUUGGGUAUUUGUACUAUGAGUUAUAUAUGUAAAUUUGCAUAGAUCUAAGUGUCUAUAUUUGUGUUAUAUAUAUAUAUUGAAUAUUAUAAAAUUGUACAGAUUUAUGUUUGAUUUUUCAUCGAUUUGAAGAUUGUAAAUUUAUUGAUAUAUAUUAGUGAUGUUAAGUGUAUUUUUUUUAUUUGUGACUUUAGUAAUUUUGAUAUUGGUUCUAUUU